Molecule: long non-coding RNA, 253 nt
Filed under: Mytilus galloprovincialis (Mediterranean mussel)
Lineage: Eukaryota; Metazoa; Mollusca; Bivalvia; Mytilida; Mytilidae
Source: RNAcentral
AAAAAUUGUUGACUUUAAGAAUAAUUAUUAAUCAAAAAGUACUGAAAAAUACAACUUUGUAAGAGACUUGUUCUACACUUUCUGAAAUUGUAAAACAAUUGGUGGAGCAAUCAAUUCUUAAUAUUUGCAUUGUUAUUUUAUACUUUAAUGACGCCAUAGCUGUUACAAUAUAAAUACAUGAUUUUGCAUCAAAAUAAAGAUAUGUUAAUGGCAGGCCUGUAUAUCUUCAGCAGUAAUAAAAUCAAAUCAAGUU